Molecule: ribosomal RNA, 755 nt
Filed under: Lentilactobacillus buchneri
Lineage: Bacteria; Bacillati; Bacillota; Bacilli; Lactobacillales; Lactobacillaceae
Description: bacterial SSU rRNA
Rfam family: Bacterial small subunit ribosomal RNA
Source: RNAcentral
AUACAUGCAAGUCGAACGCGUCUCCGUUAAUGAUUUUAGGUGCUUGCACUUGAAAGAUUUAACAUUGAGACGAGUGGCGAACUGGUGAGUAACACGUGGGUAACCUGCCCUUGAAGUAGGGGAUAACACUUGGAAACAGGUGCUAAUACCGUAUAACAACCAAAACCACCUGGUUUUGGUUUAAAAGACGGCUUCGGCUGUCACUUUAGGAUGGACCCGCGGCGUAUUAGCUUGUUGGUAAGGUAACGGCCUACCAAGGCGAUGAUACGUAGCCGACCUGAGAGGGUAAUCGGCCACAUUGGGACUGAGACACGGCCCAAACUCCUACGGGAGGCAGCAGUAGGGAAUCUUCCACAAUGGACGAAAGUCUGAUGGAGCAACGCCGCGUGAGUGAUGAAGGGUUUCGGCUCGUAAAACUCUGUUGUUGGAGAAGAACAGGUGUCAGAGUAACUGUUGACAUCUUGACGGUAUCCAACCAGAAAGCCACGGCUAACUACGUGCCAGCAGCCGCGGUAAUACGUAGGUGGCAAGCGUUGUCCGGAUUUAUUGGGCGUAAAGCGAGCGCAGGCGGUUUUUUAGGUCUGAUGUGAAAGCCUUCGGCUUAACCGGAGAAGUGCAUCGGAAACCGGGAGACUUGAGUGCAGAAGAGGACAGUGGAACUCCAUGUGUAGCGGUGAAAUGCGUAGAUAUAUGGAAGAACACCAGUGGCGAAGGCGGCUGUCUGGUCUGUAACUGACGCUGAGGCUCGAAAGCAU